RNAcentral lists this ribosomal RNA (440 nucleotides) under uncultured bacterium. Its description in RNAcentral is "bacterial SSU rRNA". It matches the Rfam family "Bacterial small subunit ribosomal RNA", at positions 338 to 770 of the family's 1533-position model. The record is from RNAcentral.
CCUACGGGAGGCUGCAGUAGGGAAUCUUCCGCAAUGGACGAAAGUCUGACGGAGCAACGCCGCGUGGGUGAAGAAGGCCUGCGGGUUGUAAAGCCCUUUCGGUGGGGAAGAAAAGCCUCGAGUUAAUACCUCGGGGUCUUGACGUAACCCAUAGAAGAAGCACCGGCUAACUCUGUGCCAGCAGCCGCGGUAAUACAGAGGGUGCGAGCGUUAAUCGGAAUUACUGGGCGUAAAGCGCGCGUAGGCGGCUUUGCAAGUCGGGUGUGAAAUCCCCAGGCUUAACCUGGGAACUGCAUUCGAGACUGCAUUGCUAGAGUAUGGGAGAGGGAAGUGGAAUUUCCGGUGUAGCGGUGAAAUGCGUAGAUAUCGGAAGGAACAUCAGUGGCGAAAGCGACUUCCUGGACCAAUACUGACGCUCAUGUGCGAAAGCGUGGGGAGCA